Molecule: Y RNA, 111 nt
Filed under: Microcebus murinus (gray mouse lemur)
Lineage: Eukaryota; Metazoa; Chordata; Mammalia; Primates; Cheirogaleidae
Description: Y RNA (ENSMICG00000042136.1)
Rfam family: Y RNA
About the family: Y RNAs are components of the Ro ribonucleoprotein particle (Ro RNP), in association with Ro60 and La proteins. The Y RNAs and Ro60 and La proteins are well conserved, but the function of the Ro RNP is not known. In humans the RNA component can be one of four small RNAs -- hY1, hY3, hY4 and hY5.
Source: Rfam by way of RNAcentral
GGUUAGUCUGAGCAACCUUCGAGCAAUGGUAUUUACAACUAAUUGAUCACAAUCAGUUACAGAUUCCUUUGUUCCUUCUCCAUUCCCACUGCUCCACUUGACCAGCCUUUU